UACGAAGGGGGCUAGCGUUGCUCGGAAUUACUGGGCGUAAAGGGAGCGUAGGCGGACAUUUAAGUCAGGGGUGAAAUCCCAGAGCUCAACUCUGGAACUGCCUUUGAUACUGGAUGUCUUGAGUGUGAGAGAGGUAUGUGGGACUCCGAGUGUAGAGGUGAAAUUCGUAGAUAUUCGGAAGAACACCAGUGGCGAAGGCGACAUACUGGCUCAUUACUGACGCUGAGGCUCGAAAGCGUGGGGAGCAAACAGG
Molecule: ribosomal RNA, 253 nt
Filed under: uncultured bacterium
Lineage: Bacteria
Description: partial 16S ribosomal RNA
Rfam family: Bacterial small subunit ribosomal RNA
Source: RNAcentral